RNAcentral lists this ribosomal RNA (253 nucleotides) under uncultured bacterium. RNAcentral describes it as "partial 16S ribosomal RNA". It matches the Rfam family "Bacterial small subunit ribosomal RNA", at positions 524 to 776 of the family's 1533-position model. The record is from RNAcentral.
UACGGAGGGCGCGAACGUUGCCCGGAUUUACUGGGCGUAAAGAGCGUGUAGGCGGCUUGGGGCGUCCCAUGUGAAAGGCCACGGCUCAACCGUGGAGGAGCGUGGGAUACGCUCAGGCUAGACGGUGGGAGAGGGUGGUGGAAUUCCCGGAGUAGCGGUGAAAUGCGCAGAUACCGGGAGGAACGCAGAUGGCGAAGGCAGCCACCUGGCUCACUUGUGACGCUGAGGAGCGAAAGCGUUGGGAGCAAACCGG